Molecule: long non-coding RNA, 583 nt
Filed under: Gossypium barbadense (sea-island cotton)
Lineage: Eukaryota; Viridiplantae; Streptophyta; Magnoliopsida; Malvales; Malvaceae
Description: long non-coding RNA (GBAR_LNC022619)
Source: RNAcentral
AUGCAAACAUAAAAGCAAUUACUAAAAAAGUAUAAAUCCCAGGAACUAUAUAAGGAUUGUUGAUUGCAUGCAUGAUGCAAUAAUCAAUCAUAAACUUCACACGUACAGUACAUGGAUCGUUGAAUGCUAAGAGUAGCGAGAGAGAGACAGCGAUGGGCUUGAUUUGACUAAUUAAGUAGAAUGGCUUCCUUUGCCACUAAAAGCGACGGCGUUGUUAAAUCCGCAAUACCUCAUGAAGAGCUUCCUAGCUUUGUUCAAGUCGAUGGGGAAGGCCCAGUUGCUUUUAAUGGCAAUGCAUACGCAACCAGCUGCAUGAUCUUCUCUGUAAUGCCGAAAUUGGGAGCAGCAUUCGCAGCUAGGGUCAGGGGGUUGACGAAAGAAGGCCUUCCCGAAAGCGGCUGGGCAUGCACUCAGAUCUUCAGGACAUUUUCGAGUAUGAGAGCUAACCAAACUGAAAAAAACAAGGUUGAGGAAAAGGAGAAAGACAGUUGAUGCUGAAGGCUUUGAACCCAUUUUUUUUCCAAUUAAGAAGCUUUGGAAAUUGGAAUUGCUUGUAGUAUAAGGUGUGAGUGGUAGGGUUGCA